RNAcentral lists this ribosomal RNA (601 nucleotides) under Opisthosyllis longicirrata. RNAcentral's name for it is "bacterial SSU rRNA". It matches the Rfam family "Eukaryotic small subunit ribosomal RNA", at positions 1217 to 1804 of the family's 1831-position model. Lineage: Eukaryota; Metazoa; Annelida; Polychaeta; Phyllodocida; Syllidae. The record is from RNAcentral.
ACCCGGCCCGGACACCGUCAGGAUUGACAGAUUGAGGGCUCUUUCUCGAUUCGGUGGGUGGUGGUGCAUGGCCGUUCUUAGUUGGUGGAGCGAUCUGUCUGGUUAAUUCCGAUAACGAACGAGACUCUGGCCUGCUAAGUAGACCCCGCGUCCGGUGAAUCGUACGCCUGAAACAAUUGGACACUUCUUAGAGGGACCAGCGGCGCUCAGCCGCGCGAGAUUGAGCAAUAACAGGUCUGUGAUGCCCUUAGAUGUUCGGGGCCGCACGCGUGCUACACUGAGAGAGCCAACGGGUACACGUCCUGGCCAGUCAUGGUGGGGCAAUCCGUAGACAAACUCUGUCGUGCUAGGGACUGGGGGUUGCAAUUGUCCCCCACAAACGAGGAAUUCCCAGUAAGCGCCGGUCAACAGCCGGUGUUGAUUACGUCCCUGCCCUUUGUACACACCGCCCGUCGCUACUACCGAUUUCUGGCCUGGUGAGUCCUCCGGACGGUUCCCGGGCCGGCCUGAUGCCCUUCACCGGGCUCGGCUGGCUGUCUGACGGCUGGAAGGAGGCCGAACCUGGACACUGAGAGGAAGUAAAAGUCGUAACAAGGUUUCC